ACAUGCAAGCAUCUCAACACGCUGGGCGCCAAGGCCGUGCUGGCCUUCUCGACCAUGGUGCCGCUCUCGGAGAUCGCCUUCGCCGUCCUGCUCCUCCCCUACCUUCUCCUGGCCACGCUCGCCUUCCCGCAGCGCCCCGGGAAGCCCAACCCGUCCUUGCCCGUCUUCCUCGGCCUCGCGCGCCUCCUCCUCGCCGCGCACACCGUGGGCGGGUUCCUCGUUGGUGCCGCACUCCCGGCGCUCUACGUACUUGACGGCCUCCGGUCCGGGGACACCACGGGGAUCGCCGCCGCAGCCCCGCAUGCGUUCCUGCUCUCCGCGCAGGUCUUCAUUGAGGGGCUCACCACCGCGGUCCCGUGGCGGUUCUCGCUCCCCGUCAGGGCUACCGUACCGGUCAUGUACAGCGCGCGCAGGAUGUUCGUGGCAGGGGAGUGGCUCCGGCAGGAGAUGGAGGGGGUGACUACGGCGACGGGAAGGGAAGGGGCGGAGCGGCAGGAGGCUGGGCGGGUCGAGGAGUUCCCCUGUGGCGGCGGCGGCAGCGUAGGAAACCUAGUGCAUGCGAGGGUAAUCGAGGAGAAGAGCUGCUCGCACGAUUGUUUAGAGAGUUUUUUCUCUCUGGAGGGUGAGAAUCGGUGGAACCGGAGUGAGGGGUGGAAGGUGGGGGAUGAAAAAAACCAGCGAAAAUAA
This 687-nucleotide ribosomal RNA is filed under the name Triticum aestivum (bread wheat). RNAcentral describes it as "partial small subunit ribosomal RNA". The record is from RNAcentral. Lineage: Eukaryota; Viridiplantae; Streptophyta; Magnoliopsida; Poales; Poaceae.